Oryza sativa Japonica Group (Japanese rice) is the source of this 176-nucleotide microRNA precursor. It matches the Rfam family "MIR807 microRNA precursor family". NCBI's taxonomy places the organism in Eukaryota, Viridiplantae, Streptophyta, Magnoliopsida, Poales, Poaceae. The record is from Rfam.
AAUCACACUAUCAAUGAAUUGAUUCACCCGUGAUAUGGCGUGGCUGUUCCACUUAUGACGAGGACGUGGCAUCUUAUUACCAGCCAUCACACGAAAUUAAUAGGAUGCCAUAUUCUCAUCCUAGGUGUAACAACUACGUCAUCUCACAUGUGAAUCCAUUUAUUGAUAGUGUGGUU